CUCUGCAACUCUAACAUGGUUGCCCACUGAAGCUAAGCAGGGUUGUGCCCUAUCCGUACCUGAAUGGGAGACCACAUGGGAAAGCUAGGUUGUUGCCGGAA
Danio rerio (zebrafish) is the source of this 101-nucleotide non-coding RNA. The record is from Rfam. NCBI's taxonomy places the organism in Eukaryota, Metazoa, Chordata, Actinopteri, Cypriniformes, Danionidae.